Molecule: ribosomal RNA, 629 nt
Filed under: Coprinopsis udicola
Lineage: Eukaryota; Fungi; Basidiomycota; Agaricomycetes; Agaricales; Psathyrellaceae
Description: LSU rRNA
Rfam family: Eukaryotic large subunit ribosomal RNA
Source: RNAcentral
CCCUAGUAACUGCGAGUGAAGCGGGAAAAGCUCAAAUUUAAAAUCUGGCGGUCUUCGGCCGUCCGAGUUGUAAUCUAGAGAAGUGUUACCCGUGCUGGACCGUGUAUAAGUCUCCUGGAAUGGAGCGUCAUAGAGGGUGAGAAUCCCGUCUUUGACACGGACUACCAGUGCUUUUGUGGUGCGCUCUCAAAGAGUCGAGUUGUUUGGGAAUGCAGCUCAAAAUGGGUGGUAAAUUCCAUCUAAAGCUAAAUAUUGGCGAGAGACCGAUAGCGAACAAGUACCGUGAGGGAAAGAUGAAAAGAACUUUGGAAAGAGAGUUAAACAGUACGUGAAAUUGCUGAAAGGGAAACGCUUGAAGUCAGUCGCGUUGGCCGGAAAUCAACCUUGCUUCUGUUGGGUGUACUUUCUGGUUGACGGGCCAGCAUCAGUUUUGACCGGUGGAAAAAGGUCAAGGGAAUGUGGCAUCUUCGGAUGUGUUAUAGCCCUUGGUCGUAUACAUCGGUUGGGACUGAGGAAUUCAGCACGCCGAAAGGCCGGGUCUUUGACCACGUUCGUGCUUANGAUGCUGGCAUAAUGGCUUUAAUCGACCCGUCUUGAAACACGGACCAAGGAGUCUAACAUGCCUGCGA